RNAcentral lists this ribosomal RNA (279 nucleotides) under uncultured archaeon. RNAcentral describes it as "partial 16S rRNA". It matches the Rfam family "Archaeal small subunit ribosomal RNA", at positions 1047 to 1325 of the family's 1478-position model. The record is from RNAcentral.
GAGACCCACGCCAACAGUUGCCAGCACGUUCUCCGGAAUGGUGGGGACACUGUUGGGACCGCCUCUGCUAAAGAGGAGGAAGGAAUGGGCAACGGUAGGUCAGCAUGCCCCGAAUUACCCGGGCUACACGCGGGCUACAAUGGACAGGACAAUGGGAAUCGACACCGAGAGGUGAAGGCAAUCCCCUAAACCUGCCCUUAGUUCGGAUUGUGGGCUGCAACUCGCCCGCAUGAAGCUGGAAUCCGUAGUAAUCGCGGAUCAACAUUCCGCGGUGAAUAU